GAGUUUGAUCAUGGCUCAGAACGUACGCUGGCGGCACGCCUAACACAUGCAAGUCGAACGAAGUAGCAAUACUUAGUGGCAGACGGGUGAGUAACAUGUAGGUAUCUGCCCUUUGGCCUGGAAUAACACGAGGAAACUUGUGCUAAUACCGGAUAAGUCUUUACAGAGAAAGCUUUAUGCACCAUUGGAUGAGCCCGCACUUGAUUAGUUUGUUGGUGGGGUAAUGGCCUACCAAGACUGUGAUCAAUAGCUGAUUUGAGAGGAUGAUCAGCCACAUUGGGACUGAGACACGGCCCAAACUCCUACGGGAGGCAGCAGUGGGGAAUCUUGCACGAUGGAGGAAACUCUGAUGCAGCGAUGCCGCGUGAGUGAAGAAGGCCCUUGGGUUGUAAAGCUCUUUCGUCGGGGAAGAAAAUAACUGUACCCGAAUAAGAAGGUCCGGCUAACUUCGUGCCAGCAGCCGCGGUAAUACGAAGGGACCUAGCGUAGUUCGGAAUUACUGGGCUUAAAGAGUUCGUAGGUGGUUAAAAUAGUUGGUGGUGAAAUCCCAGAGCUUAACUCUGGAACUGCCAUCAAAACUUUUUAGCUAGAGUAUGAUGGAGGAAAGCAGAAUUUCUAGUGUAGAGGUGAAAUUCGUAGAUAUUAGAAAGAAUACCGAUUGCGAAGGCAGCUUUCUGGAUCAUUACUGACACUGAGGAACGAAAGCAUGGGUAGCGAAGAGGAUUAGAUACCCUCGUAGUCCAUGCCGUAAACGAUGUGUGUUAGACGUUGGAAAUUUAUUUUCAGUGUCGCAGCGAAAGCGAUAAACACACCGCCUGGGGAGUACGACCGCAAGGUUAAAACUCAAAUGAAUUGACGGGGACCCGCACAAGUAGUGGAGCAUGUGGUUUAAUUCGAAGAUACGCGCAGAACCUUACCAACACUUGACAUGUUCGUCGCGACUUUAAGAGAUUAAAGUUUUCGGUUCGGCCGGACGAAACACAGGUGCUGCAUGGCUGUCGUCAGCUCGUGUCGUGAGAUGUUGGGUCAAGUCCCGCAACGAGCGCAACCCUCACUUUUAGUUGCCAUCAUUAAGUUGGGCACUCUGAAAGAACUGCCAGUGAUAAGCUGGAGGAAGGUGGGGAUGACGUCAAGUCCUCAUGGCCCUUACGUGUUGGGCUACACACGUGCUACAAUGGCAUUUACAAUAGGAAGCAAGACGGCGACGCUAAGCAAAUCCUAAAAAAAUGCCUCAGUUCGGAUUGUACUCUGCAACUCGAGUACAUGAAGCUGGAAUUACUAGUAAUCGCGGAUCAGCGCGCCGCGGUGAAUGCGUUCCCGGGUCUUGUACACACCGCCCGUCACACCAUGGGAGUUGGUUCUACCUUAAGGCAAAGCUUAAAACCUUUGACCACGGUAUAGUCAGCGACUGGGGUGAAGUCGUAACAAGGUAACC
This 1435-nucleotide ribosomal RNA is filed under the name uncultured marine bacterium. Its description in RNAcentral is "bacterial SSU rRNA". It matches the Rfam family "Bacterial small subunit ribosomal RNA". The record is from RNAcentral.